Triticum dicoccoides is the source of this 2331-nucleotide long non-coding RNA. RefSeq lists it as uncharacterized. The record is from RefSeq and is a predicted model, not a curated record. The transcript has 3 exons. Lineage: Eukaryota; Viridiplantae; Streptophyta; Magnoliopsida; Poales; Poaceae.
CCCACCCACCGACUACUCCCCCCCAUCGAUCGAUCUCCCCAACACCAUCAUCCUGCCCUGAGUGUCCAUGUCGGUCUCCCUCUCGACAGCCACCGCCACCAUGACUCCGGAUCCUGGCCGGCCCAUCGCUGCCAGCACGUCUUACCGCAAGGUCGCCUCGGCACCGCGGAGCCCGACACCGACCCCGGCCCCUCGGGUUAGUGUCCUCUAUGUCAGCCCGCCACCGCGCCAUCUCCGGCCAAGGUCGAUGACCAUGGGAUCCCCACAAGCGUGUGAAGCCCUGCUGAUGUGCGGAGCUGAACCUGAACGAUUGCAUCCGCGAGGCCGAGGAGUAGGUCGUGCGCUGCCACAAGGACAGGGGCACUGGCUCGGUGCCAUGUACGCCUGCAAGGAGGACACCGUGCUCCAGGCCCUCAAGACUGAGAGGGCUCGCCUGGACAGGAGCGCCAGCUCCUAGACCAAGCCUGCUUCUCAGGGCGCCAAUGCGCAUUAUUUCUUCUGCCCAGCAAACGCCAAACGACCCGAGGAUGACGUGCCGCAGCCCGCAGGGAUUCCAGCGAAUGAGAGACCUAACUGAAAUGGUGCUUUUUCUGAAUCUUGUUUGUUGCAUAUGAGUGGACAGAUACCUGUUUGCUCGUAUAUCUUGCUUCAAUUGAUGCACUGGCUCAUGUACAGUAUGGAGCACCCUGACAUCACAGGUGUGCGCUUCACUAAAUUAAUCAUCGUGCAACAUUCCUACUUCAACAUAUACUCAAAUGGCGGUGAUGUUCUCCUCUGGGAUGGAGGGGGCGGGUCUGUGGGCAUCGUAGAGAAGUGGUCGGGUCCACAAGAUAACUGAGAUGCUUGUGGCGGGGUGCUUGAGGUGAGGAGUCCGUAGGGCUGGCCGGGCAGAACAAGCUCAUCGGCACCACCUCCUCGCCUUCUCCAUCAGCAAUGUGGACAAGGUGCAAAAGGAUAUCUCACUUACAUCUUAUUCAGUCUGGCUGCCGAUUUAGCAAUGUUUGGUUUGGCUGAUUUAACAAUUGUCAGAUUGUAAAUCUGUUGCAUAUAGCAGAAAUUGAAUAACAUGGACAGAAAUUUCUUGAAUUUAUAGGGUUAUUAUUAUUAUUUUUCGACAAAAUCCGUCGCUAAAUUAGGAAGAACGUCAUCCAAAAUCUGGCAACAUAAAGGAGUACAUAGUUAAUUGAUUUUGAAAUGAUGUAGUGCAUUAGACGAUUUCUUCCUUAAUUUCUUAACGCAUUUAUAUUUAAGCGGUAAGCCCCAUACGUCAUACGUGUUCGUCCUUUUGGUGAUAUAAGGCGGUGAGCUUUCUCCUUCUCCACUCUUUAACACUGUUGGUUCUGCAUUUUGCAUCAAUGGUUUGGGAUAAGAAAUGAAUGUUUCUAUCUGAAUAUUAUUUGGUUAUUCAUGCUUUGUCUAAAUCGAUUUAGGAGAAGUUAGUAUGUGAUUCAUUUGGAAAAAUGACUUCUUUCUGAACAGAAGUAAUAAAAGGACUUGGUCGGGGAGGGAGUAGAGCCGGUUAAUUCAGUACUUUCUGGACAACAGUAAUAAAAGGGCUUAUUCAGUUUUAAUUUUUUCCAGUAAAUAAUGAAAAUGUCUAUGUAUUUUUUUUCUCCCAAUAUGCUAUGGUCAUCUUGUUGCUAUGCAUAUAAAAUUUCAUGGCCAGCUUAGCAGCUGAGGGUUGGCUCUCCUAUCUACCUGUCUAUCUUGCUUUGACAAGGUGAUGUAAAUAUUCAAAAAACAUGUGACCAUCUCCUGUUGGUCAGUAUUAUCUUUGGCCAUUCUUCUAUUUGUGUUUGCUUUUUUUGCAUGUUCAUUAUGACGGUGAAAUUCUAGAGACGACCAGGUAAUGUUCCGAAUCCAGGUUAUUUCCUAUUAUGUAUGGAUUUGAUAUCUGGUGAACGGUUGCCAUACACGCUUUCAACAAUAUUUAGAAAUGCCAGUGUCGCUUGUCUGCUGCUGGACUUGGUGCACACACAAUCAGCUCCCAAGUCAUGGCAGGUCGUUCCAGACAUGAGGUUCAUCUUGAUGAUUUUAUUUUCGCAAUGCAAACUUGGAACCUGGCGAUACAAACUAAAAGCAUGCUUAUAUCAAGAUGUAGUGCAUACCCAGCCUAAAUUGAUGUUUUCCAGUUUGAUUGAUUUUAUUUCUAUGCAAAUUACAAAUAAAUUAGAGCUUUCUCAGAGCUUCAAUCAGAAGUUCUCGCCAAUGGUUUGAUCUUUUUUUCUUUUCUUUUUAUAGGCUAUGAGGUCUUAUUGUGCUUCCAGAUUGGAACCGUUGGAAAGCUUAGACUUCCUGAUCUAGCUAACAAACGAAGCAGUCUAUUUAACA